This 253-nucleotide ribosomal RNA is filed under the name uncultured bacterium. Its description in RNAcentral is "partial 16S ribosomal RNA". It matches the Rfam family "Bacterial small subunit ribosomal RNA", at positions 524 to 776 of the family's 1533-position model. The record is from RNAcentral.
UACGAACUGUGCGAACGUUAUUCGGAAUCACUGGGCGUAAAGGGUGCGUAGGCGGGUCUUUAAGUCAGGGGUGAAAUCCUGGAGCUCAACUCCAGAACUGCCUUUGAUACUGAGGAUCUUGAGUUCGGGAGAGGUGAGUGGAACUGCGAGUGUAGAGGUGAAAUUCGUAGAUAUUCGCAAGAACACCAGUGGCGAAGGCGGCUCACUGGCCCGAUACUGACGCUGAGGCACGAAAGCGUGGGGAGCAAACGGG